RNAcentral lists this ribosomal RNA (489 nucleotides) under Tanystigma sp. 1 (09.20.2007.13). RNAcentral's name for it is "partial 16S ribosomal RNA". It matches the Rfam family "Archaeal large subunit ribosomal RNA", at positions 1921 to 2665 of the family's 2987-position model. Lineage: Eukaryota; Metazoa; Arthropoda; Insecta; Psocodea; Psocidae. The record is from RNAcentral.
GUCUUUUUGGGAAAAUAUAAAGUCCAAUCUGCUCACUGAGUAAUUAAAGAGCCGCAGUAUUCUGACUGUGCAAAGGUAGCAUAAUAAAUAGCUUUUUAAUUGAAAGCUUGUAUGAAAGAUUAGACGAGAAAAUAGUUUUCUUUAAUCUAAAAAUUUAAUUUUAAAUUUUAGUGAAAAUGCUUAAAUGUUUUUAAAAGACGAGAAGACCCUAUAGAUUUUUAUUAUUAUUCUUAAUAUAAAAUAGUAAUUUGGAUAAAUAAUUUAAUUGGGGCGAUUUUGUAAUAUAAAAAACUUAAUUUUUUGUGACCAUUAAUAUUUGAAUAUUUUGAUCUAAAAUUUUUAAUGAAAAGAUUAAAUUACCUUAGGGAUAACAGCGUAAUCUUAUUUGAGAGUUCGUAUCUAUAAUAAGGUUUGCGACCUCGAUGUUGAAUUAAGAUAAUAUGUUGGAGUAGAAAUUAAUAUAAUUAGUCUGUUCGACUAUUAAAUUCU